This is an RNA transcript of Solanum dulcamara, 1478 nucleotides long. It is a transcript of the gene named riboflavin synthase-like, with no coding region annotated. The transcript is spliced from 3 exons. NCBI's taxonomy places the organism in Eukaryota, Viridiplantae, Streptophyta, Magnoliopsida, Solanales, Solanaceae. The record is from RefSeq and is a predicted model, not a curated record.
UGUAUACUUGCUCUAUAUAUAAAUGAAACCUCACAAAUUGAAAUAUGUCCAAAAAUGGCGGCGAUUUCAUUCACAGUUGCUUCUCCUUCCAAGCCCUUAAACCCAUCGAUCGCCCCCAAAAACCCUACCAUCUUCAAUCUACUACCCAAUCCAUGGAAUCCCCAGCUCAAAAGAGCCCUCUUUCUCAAAUCUCCUUCAAUUUCUCCUAUCUUUAUCAGGCCUUUAAAAACCCAACAAUGUCGUACUUCUUCCACUCCAACCACUUCCCUUUUUACCGGCAUAGUUGAAGAAAUCGGCCAAAUUAAGCAACUGGGUUACGAUAAACCCGAUAGUUUCACCAUGAAAAUCCAAGCAAAACUCAUUCUUGAAGACAUCAACCUCGGUGACAGCAUUUCUGUCAACGGAACUUGUCUAACGGUGGAUGAUUUUGAUACCCAGUUGUUGGAAUUCAGUCUUGGAAUUGCUCCGGAAACACUGAGGAAGACUUCUUUGAUCGAAUUGGAAAAAGGGUCUUUGGUCAAUUUGGAGAGGGCUUUGAGGCCUACUACUAGAAUGGGGGGUCACUUUGUGCAGGGACAUGUUGAUGGGACUGGAGAGAUUGUUGAGCUCAAACCUGAAGGGGAUUCUUUAUGGGUAAAGGUGAAGACUGCGAAAGAAAUUUUGAGGUACAUUGUGCCCAAAGGAUUCAUUGCUGUGGAUGGAACUAGUUUGACUGUAGUCGAUGUGUUUGAUGAAGAAGACUGUUUUAACUUCAUGUUGGUGGCUUACACGCAGCAAAAUGUGGUGAUUCCAACGAAGAAAGUGGGGCAGAAAGUUAACCUCGAGGUGGAUAUAUUGGGAAAGCACGUGGAGAAGCUUCUUAGCAGUGGCUUUGUAGAUGCCAUCAAAUCUUCUUCAUGAGAAAGGAAAGCAAGUAAAACAAAAGGCAGCUGCAGCUGAAUCAAAUUUGAUGGACAACAACAGGAUUCUACUGAUGACUUAUCACUUGCCCAGCUGAUUUUUUCUACUGCAGUAUCUUGUAAAUAUAUGGCUCCUGGGCCUAACUCAACCUCAAAAGUUAGCUCAUGAGGGGAGGAUUGCCCAAAAUCGAUUUAUGUAGACCACCGGUCUAUUCCUCAACCAAUGUGAGACUUUUACCCACUCUAACACUACCAUCAGUAGCAAAUUGAUCAUCUAUGUGUCAAAAACUCAAGCAGUAAGUAGGAAACAUUACUUAUGGUGAUUGUACUAAUGUGGUAAUCUGAGCGGGUUCACGUAGUGUAAACGCCAAUGAGAAAAGAGCCACUUUUAAGUUUCAAUCUAUGCUGCUAAGGUGGUACAAGUCUUUAUAGUACUGAAGAGUUGUGAAAUCUUGUUUAGGACUGAGAUUGAGAUUGAGAUUGCUGAUUUUUUAUUUUUUUUGGGCAAUGUAAAGGGUUAUUCAUUGCACUGCUGGCAUGCAUGUUCAGCUAUUAAGUGAUAAUUUCUUGAUUGAACUA